AUUCUCUUCAUGUAUAAUGUAUUGUGGUAAGAUUCAAACAAAAUUAACUUACUUUACAGUAAGGAAAAAUUAGAUUUUUAAUUCCAAAUUUACAGUAAAAACAUAACAUUUUAUAAAACUAAACAAUUGACAUAAUAGUAUAAAAAUAUGGAAAAAAAAAUUAAAAUACUAUCCGCGCGUAGCGCGGACAAGAACCUAGUAUAAAUAAAAGGAACUAAUUUGGAAGCUCCUAAGCUGGUAGGAUAAAAAAAUUCGUAGCCAAUCAUUUUGACAUGAAAAUACCGUUUAUGCUUCGUUAACAAAACAAACACUGAAACGAUUCUGCGUCACCACACUAAUUGCAGCCAUUAUUCCCAUCUCCAAAAAAUAAAAGAAACAACCUAACGAUUCUCUCUUUGUCUUGAGUCAUUCCUUUUUUGUUAUCGAGUCACACACCUUUUUGUCUGUUUUCUUUUUGCUUUAUCUGCCGGGUUUAGCUUGUGAGCAUAAUGAGUUUGCACCUGGUGAUGUCGUAGAGUAUGCGAUUCCGAAGAACUGGUUGGUUUAGGAUUUCAUCAUCCUGAAAUACAUACACAUCCAGAGUUGUAAGUUGUAAUUACAAAGACGCUUGAUGCAGAGCCUUACGUAGCCAGGGUUAAGCAUGUGCUCAUGGUUGACAGUGUUCAGGAAAUUGCUGUUUAUGUCCAUAGGUUCCAUAACCUUGAUCUUUUCCAGCAAGGGUAUCAUUAUGUGCUUUGAGUGUAUAUAUUGGAGCAAUUUUUCUAUUAUGUGUAUAAAUUUUCGAUUCUAUUACUCUCUUUGAUGGUAUCAAGUAAAAAUCCGCUCGAGAUGGGAGGAUACUGAUAACAACAACUCCUCUGGGAUUCCUUCACGAGUUGUUCAGUAUGAAGGUACUCCUCUCAAUCCCUUUUUUUGAAUUAUUAUCUUUUGUAAUAUUCCUCAUGUUUAUGUAUUUGGAGAGUAUCUAUCUUUCUUUCUUUCUUUCUUCCUUUCUUUCCUUCUUUCUUUCUUUUUGCAUAAGUAUCAACAUACCUUUGUAUCACAGCUCUUAAUCCAAACUCAAACGAAUCAUCCUGGAGUGUGGAAGGUAGAUGAUAAAGUUAAUAGUUUCUUAACACAGCCCUUCCGGAUUAAAUAUGCUAUACAGGAUGUUCGUCUAUGCAUGAUGGUCUCUUUUACUAUGCCAUUGGAACCAACACAUGGGAUGAUGGAACAGAUUUGAGCUCUGUGUGUACACAAGCGUGUGAUCGACCUCUUCAGCUCUUCGAAUGUAGUGAAGCAACAUUAAGCCUGGUGUGUGGAUGAGGUUAACUUCGUUGAUUCUUAGAGCAUAAGGUUUAGUUUAGAAUUUAUUUUUGAAUUCCAACGAUUUUGUCUUUUCUUUUUGUUACAAAGUUCAUACUUCACUUCCUAAAUCAAUAAGUGGGUAGAAAAUCCUUAUGCAAAAUACGUAAAAACAAUUAUGUAA
This is a long non-coding RNA of Brassica rapa (field mustard), 1468 nucleotides long. RefSeq lists it as uncharacterized. The record is from RefSeq and is a predicted model, not a curated record. Lineage: Eukaryota; Viridiplantae; Streptophyta; Magnoliopsida; Brassicales; Brassicaceae.